Molecule: ribosomal RNA, 468 nt
Filed under: uncultured bacterium
Lineage: Bacteria
Description: partial 16S ribosomal RNA
Rfam family: Bacterial small subunit ribosomal RNA
Source: RNAcentral
GACGAACGCUGGCGGCGUGCUUAACACAUGCAAGUCGAACGGAAAGGCCCUGCUUUUGUGGGGUGCUCGAGUGGCGAACGGGUGAGUAACACGUGAGUAACCUGCCCUUGACUUUGGGAUAACUUCAGGAAACUGGGGCUAAUACCGGAUAGGAGCUCCUGCUGCAUGGUGGGGGUGGGAAAGUUUCGGCGGUUGGGGAUGGACUCGCGGCUUAUCAGCUGGUUGGUGGGGUAGUGGCUUACCAAGGCUUUGACGGGUAGCCGGCCUGAGAGGGUGACCGGCCACAUUGGGACUGAGAUACGGCCCAGACUCCUACGGGAGGCAGCAGUGGGGAAUAUUGCACAAUGGGCGGAAGCCUGAUGCAGCAACGCCGCGUGCGGGAUGACGGCCUUCGGGUUGUAAACCGCUUUCGCCUGUGACGAAGCGUGAGUGACGGUAAUGGGUAAAGAAGCACCGGCUAACUACGUG